GAUGAACGCUGGCGGCGUGCCUAAUACAUGCAAGUCGAGCGAACAGACGAGGAGCUUGCUCCUCUGACGUUAGCGGCGGACGGGUGAGUAACACGGGGAUAACCUACCUAUAAGACUGGGAUACUUUCGGGAAACCGGAGCUACUACCGGAUAAUAUAUUGAACCGCAUUGUUCAAUAGUUAAAGACGGUUUUGCGGUCACUAAUAGAUGAAUCCGCGCCUCAUUAGCUAGUUGGUAAGGUAACGGCUUACCAAGGCAACGAUGGGUAGCCGACCUGAGCGGGUGAACGGCCACACUGGAAGUGAGACACGGCCCAGACUCCUAGGGGAGGCCGCGGUAGGGAAUCUUCCGCAAGGGGGGAAAGCCUGACGGAGCAACGCCGCGUGAAUGAUGAAGGUCUUCGGAUCGGAAAACGCUGUUAUUAGGGAAGAACAAAUGUGUAAGUAACUAUGCACGUCUUGACGGUACCUAAACAGAAAGCCACGGCUAACUACGUG
RNAcentral lists this ribosomal RNA (497 nucleotides) under uncultured bacterium. RNAcentral describes it as "partial 16S ribosomal RNA". It matches the Rfam family "Bacterial small subunit ribosomal RNA", at positions 28 to 507 of the family's 1533-position model. The record is from RNAcentral.